AUGGAUAAGGCUUCCCUGGUUCUCCUGAGUCUCGUCGUUCCCUUGGUUCUUCUUCUUCUGCCGCUCUCGCGCCCGGCGUCGGUGGUGACCCAUCUCCCCGGCUUCCAUGGCCGCCUUCCCUUCCGCCUCGAGACCGGGUACGUCGGCGUGGACGAGGAGACGGGAGCGGAGCUCUUCUACUACUUCGUGGAGUCAGAGAGGAGCCCCGACACGGACCCGGUGAUCCUGUGGAUGACGGGUGGGCCCUUCUGCUCUGGCAUGGUUUUCUUCGAAGUUGGUCCUAUGAAAUUUGUGUUGGCACCUUAUAAUGGUAGUUUGCCACAAUUGGCCUAUAAUCCCUAUUCAUGGUCCAAGACAACAAGCAUCAUCUUGUUGGAUUCACCAGUUGGUACUGGUUUCUCGUACGCUCGUGACGUGGAAGGUUAUCACGAUAUUGGGGAUUUCUCCUUUUCUAUGCAUGUCUUAAUAUUUCUCAACAAGUGGUUUACCGAUCACCCACACUACCAAUCCAAUCCUUUCUUUGUUGGAGGAAGUUCAUAUGCUGGAAAGAUGUCUCCAAUUAUCGCACAACACAUUUCGCAAGAAAUCGAACUGGGGAAGCAACCCAAGAUUAAUCUCAAGGGCUAUGUAGUCGGCAACCCUGUUACAGGCUCAGAUUAUGAUGACAAUUUCAGAGUACCAUAUGCUCAUGGUGUUGGGAUUAUAUCCGAUCAACUAUAUGAGGCUGCAAUUCGGAAUUGUAAAGGAAGCUAUAUAAGACCGACAGACAAAAUGUGUGCCAGGGUGCUAAACACUUUCCAAAAUCUCGUGUCUGAAAUUGAUGUAUCACAAAUCCUGGGUGUCAAUUGUAUAAGGGGUAUGUUAACACAUAGAUUUCUAUCAGAAGAAUACAUUCAACUAAGUGACCCGUCUCCCGAGCAACCUACCUUAGAUUGUUUUUCAUACCGUUACUACCUAUGUAAUAUUUGGGCGAACGACGAUUCCACGAGAGAAGCUCUUGGGGUGAAGCGGGGAACAAUCGGAGAGUUUGUAAGAUGCAAGAAAAGUAUCCCAUACACAUCCGAGGUCCCCAGCAGCAUAAAGUACCAUUUCAACCUCACAAGCAGGGGCUAUCGUUCGCUUGUGUUUAGCGGAGACCAUGAUCUUGUGAUACCAUUUUUGAGCACGCAUGCGUGGAUUAGAUCCUUCAACUUCUCCGUAGUCGAUGAUUGGAGAGCAUGGCAUCUUGAUGGGCAGGUUGCAGGAUUUACAAUCACAUAUGCCAACUAUAUGACAUUUGUGACAAUAAAGGGUGGUGGCCACGUAUCCAUAGAACACCGACCUAAGGAAUGUCUUGCCAUGGUUCAGCGCUGGUUGGAUAAUGAGCCUCUAUGA
Molecule: ribosomal RNA, 1374 nt
Filed under: Triticum aestivum (bread wheat)
Lineage: Eukaryota; Viridiplantae; Streptophyta; Magnoliopsida; Poales; Poaceae
Description: partial small subunit ribosomal RNA
Source: RNAcentral